Molecule: ribosomal RNA, 2900 nt
Filed under: metagenomes
Description: bacterial LSU rRNA
Rfam family: Bacterial large subunit ribosomal RNA
Source: RNAcentral
AGAGUGCAUGGCGGAUGCCUUGGCAUUAGGAGUCGAAGAAGGUCGUGAUAAGCUGCGAUAAGCUUGGGGUAGACGCACAUAGUCUGUGAACCCAAGAUCACCGAAUGAGGCAACUCACUGGGGUAACCCCCAGUAUCCAUAGAUGAAUACAUAGUCUAUAGGAGGACAAACCCAGGGAACUGAAACAUCUAAGUACCUGGAGGAAGAGAAAGAAAUAUCGAUUUCCCUAGUAGCGGCGAGCGAACGGGAAAGAGCCCAAACCGGAAACUUGUUUCCGGGGUUGCGGAAGAUCCAUCUAGUACGGAAAGAAUCGAGCAGAAUACAGCUGGAAAGCUGAACCGCAGAAGGUAAUAGUCCUGUAUGCGAACGAGGAAAGCCCGAAGGAUCUAUCCAGAGUACCACGAAACACGUGAAACUUUGUGGGAAGCAGGGAGGACCACCUCCCAAGGCUAAAUACUACCUAAUGACCGAUAGCGAACAAGUACCGUGAGGGAAAGGUGAAAAGAACCCCGGGAGGGGAGUGAAAUAGAACCUGAAACCGUGCACUUACAAACGGUCAAAGCACUAUUAUAAAGUGUGAUGGCGUGCUUUUUGUAGAACGAGCCAACGAGUUACGAUAUGUAGCAAGGUUAAGUACUUCAGGUACGGAGCCGAAGGGAAACCGAGUCUUAAUAGGGCGAAUAGUUGCAUGUCGUAGACCCGAAACCGGGUGACCUAUCCAUGGCCAGGUUGAAGCGAGAGUAAAAUCUCGUGGAGGACCGAACUAAAUUGAUGUUGAAAAAUCAUGAGAUGAGCUGUGGAUAGCGGAGAAAUUCCAAUCGAACCCGGAGAUAGCUGGUUCUCCUCGAAAUAGCUUUAGGGCUAGCGUCGGAUAUGAGUUAUGGAGGUAGAGCACUGAAUGGGCUAGGGGGCAUAUCGCUUACCGAACCUUAUCAAACUCCGAAUGCCAUAAACUAUGAGUCCGGCAGUCAGACUGUGUAAGAUAAGUUUCAUAGUCGAAAGGGAAAAAGCCCAGACCGUCAGCUAAGGUCCCAAAGUAUAGGUUAAGUGGAAAAGGAUGUAGGAUUUCUAAGACAACUAGGAUGUUGGCUCAGAAGCAGCCACUCAUUAAAAGAGUGCGUAAUAGCUCACUAGUCGAGAGAUCCCGCGCCGAAGAUGUCCGGGGCUAAAACCUAUCACCGAAGCUACGGGUGGAAACGCAAGUUUCCGCGGUAGAGGAGCGUCCUGUAUUGGCUGAAGCCAUACCGUAAGGAGUGGUGGACGAUACAGGAGUGAGAAUGUUGGCAUAAGUAGCGAGAUGCAGGUGAGAAUCCUGCAGGUCGAAAAUCUAAGGUUUCCUGAGGAAGGUUCGUCCGCUCAGGGUUAGUCGGGUCCUAAGCCCAGGCCGAAAGGCGUAGGUGAUGGACAAUCGGUUGAUAUUCCGAUACCACUACGAAGCGUUUGACCGAAGGGGUGACGCAGGAGGAUAAGAUGUGCGUACGAUUGGAUUGUACGUCUAAGCAUCAAGGAAGGGCAGGGAGGCAAAUCCCCCGGCCCGCUAAUUCUAAGAUGUUACGGGGAGGGACCCACGGGUCCCGAGUAUCUGAUUUCACGCUGCCAAGAAAAGCCUCUAGGGAGCUAGCGUAGUGCCCGUACCGCAAACCGACACAGGUAGAUGAGGAGAGAAUCCUAAGACCAUCGGAAGAAUUGUUGUUAAGGAACUCGGCAAAUUAACCCCGUAACUUCGGGAGAAGGGGUGCCAGAGCAAUCUGGUCGCAGUGAAAUGGCCCAAGCAACUGUUUAGCAAAAACACAGGUCUCUGCUAAAGCGAAAGCUGAAGUAUAGGGGCUGACGCCUGCCCGGUGCUGGAAGGUUAAGGGGAUUACUUAGCGCAAGCGAAGGUAUGAACUUAAGCCCCAGUAAACGGCGGCCGUAACUAUAACGGUCCUAAGGUAGCGAAAUUCCUUGUCAGGUAAGUUCUGACCCGCACGAAUGGCGUAAUGACUUGGGCACUGUCUCAACAACAAAUCCGGCGAAAUUGUAGUGCAAGUGAAGAUGCUUGCUACCCGCGAUUGGACGGAAAGACCCCGUAGAGCUUUACUGUAGCUUAGCAUUGAGUUUCGAUAUUGUCUGUACAGGAUAGGUGGGAGACUGGGAAAGGGGAUCGUCAGGUCCUCUGGAGUCACCCUUGGGAUACCACCCUGGCAGUAUUGGAAUUCUAACCGGUGACCAUAAACUGGUCACGGGACAUUGUUAGGUGGGCAGUUUGACUGGGGCGGUCGCCUCCUAAAAAGUAACGGAGGCGCCCAAAGGUUCCCUCAGAACGGUCGGAAAUCGUUCGUAGAGUGCAAAGGCAGAAGGGAGCCUGACUGCGACACAUACAGGUGGAGCAGGGACGAAAGUCGGGCUUAGUGAUCCGGUGGUACCUCGUGGGAGGGCCAUCGCUCAACGGAUAAAAGCUACCUCGGGGAUAACAGGCUAAUCUCCCCCAAGAGUCCACAUCGACGGGGAGGUUUGGCACCUCGAUGUCGGCUCGUCGCAUCCUGGGGCUGAAGUAGGUCCCAAGGGUUGGGCUGUUCGCCCAUUAAAGCGGCACGCGAGCUGGGUUCAGAACGUCGUGAGACAGUUCGGUCCCUAUCCGUCGCGGGCGUAGGAAAUUUGAAGGGAGCUGUCCUUAGUACGAGAGGACCGGGAUGGACCAACCUCUGGUGCACCAGUUGUCACGCCAGUGGCAUAGCUGGGUAGCUAAGUUGGGACAGGAUAAACGCUGAAAGCAUCUAAGCGUGAAGCCUACCCUAAGAUAAGAUUUCCCAUAGCGUAAGCUAGUAAGAUCCCUUGAAGAACACGAGGUUGAUAGGUGAGAGGUGUAAGUGCAGCAAUGCAUUCAGCUUACUCAUACUAAUAGAUCGAGGGCUUGAUCU